Molecule: transfer RNA, 86 nt
Filed under: Cytophagales bacterium
Lineage: Bacteria; Pseudomonadati; Bacteroidota; Cytophagia; Cytophagales
Also listed under: 1 other name
Description: tRNA-Leu
Rfam family: tRNA
About the family: Transfer RNA (tRNA) molecules are approximately 80 nucleotides in length. Their secondary structure includes four short double-helical elements and three loops (D, anti-codon, and T loops).
Source: RNAcentral
GCCCGGGUGGUGGAAUUGGUAGACACGCAGGACUUAAAAUCCUGUGGCUAGUAAUAGUCGUACGGGUUCAAUUCCCGUCCCGGGUA